This is a long non-coding RNA of Daphnia pulicaria, 968 nucleotides long. RefSeq lists it as uncharacterized. The transcript has 5 exons. The record is from RefSeq and is a predicted model, not a curated record. NCBI's taxonomy places the organism in Eukaryota, Metazoa, Arthropoda, Branchiopoda, Diplostraca, Daphniidae.
AAAUCAAUCGAAAGACGAUCUCCGACACGGCAACAAUUGCAGUGUACUAUCUGUCAUCAAUUACAUUCCUCAUCGUGUAACCAGUUCGUAAUCAUGGUUAACUAUAGCUUCGUGCUGCUGUUGGGUGUUGUAACGUUGUUGGCUGGGACGAACACUGCUGUACCGACGUCUCCUGGAUAUGGCGGAUACCAAACCGCAGUGCCGCCACCUUACUACACAACUUACGAGUUGGUUACUGCUGCAACGACCAGUUGCGACCGAGGCCCCCAAGUGCUACACCAUUAAGGCACCGGAGUUUUAUACCACAACUAACGCUGCCCCGAGCUACUACACCGACGCCCCAAAGUAUUAAUAUUCUGCCGCGACUUUUCAGUCAGAUUUUCAGAGCCUGAUUGAAGUGAUUAACGAAUUUGGUAAAUUGGUCCACCCAUUAAAGUGUGAAGUUCCCUUGAUGGAUUUAGUCGUUAUAAUUCUUUAAAAAAAAAUUGUUUUUUUGUUGGCACCAUGUUGUUGGCUGAGUGUUGGCACCAUUUGUUGGCUGAGGCACUGAAGAUGACAUCUUGUGGCCAGACGAAUUUUGAUGAGCACUGAAAGACUUGGAAACCAUGCUGUCGACCACGUCGAGAAGCUGAGUAACAUUCUGCUUUUACAAUGGCACCUAUUAAUAAAAGGAACUUAAGCCAUCCAAUCUAGGACUUCCAUCAAAUCGUGCAGGCUGCAUGGAAGUCAUAUUUACCUUUGCUGUGAACAUCAUGAACACAUACACUAUUUGAAGGUUCAUGUUUACGAAGCAGUGGUGUUGCUGUCCAAUGUGGCGUGUUGUUGCAGCCUGUGGUGGUGAAAGAUAUCUGCAUCAAGUUGCUGUUCCUUGUGCUGGUGCUGGUUUGUGCUACAGAAGUGACAUCCAAUAUUGUCUUUAAUUGCUAUUUGUGUCUUUGCAGUUUACCUUUACAUAUUGAGAAGGAACA